This 519-nucleotide unclassified non-coding RNA is filed under the name Hevea brasiliensis (rubber tree). Lineage: Eukaryota; Viridiplantae; Streptophyta; Magnoliopsida; Malpighiales; Euphorbiaceae. The record is from RNAcentral.
CCUGAACAGGUUGACUGGAUUGGUCAGAAAAAUCAAAUAGAUGCUGCUAAGGAUGCAGGAGUGAAGCAGAUUGUGUUGGUUGGGUCUAUGGGUGGGACAAAUCUGAAUAAUCCCUUGAACAGUUUGGGCAAUGGGAAUAUAUUGAUUUGGAAGAGAAAGGCUGAACAGUAUUUGGCUGAUUCUGGUAUCCCAUACACAAUUAUAAGGGCUGGAGGCCUGCAAGAUAAAGAAGGCGGCGUCCGAGAAUUACUUGUUGGGAAGGAUGAUGAACUUCUUCAAACAGAUACAAGAGCCAUUGCAAGGGCUGAUGUUGCAGAAGUCUGCAUUGAGGCAUUAGCAUACGAGGAAGCUAAAUUUAAGGCAUUUGACUUAGCCUCCAAGCCAGAGGGAACUGGCACUCCAACAAAAGAUUUUAAGGCUCUCUUCUCCCAAGUCACCACUCGAUUUUGAUUUUCAAUUGACCAUUAUGACCGGUCUUGGAUGUUACAUUUCUGUGUUUAAACUUCAGAAAGAGUUGUC